CACGUAGGGUGCGAGCGUUGUCCGGAAUUAUUGGGCGUAAAGAGCUCGUAGGCGGUGUGUCGCGUCGGCCGUGAAAACCUGCAGCUUAACUGUGGGCUUGCGGUCGAUACGGGCAUCACUGGAGUUCGGCAGGGGAGACUGGAAUUCCUGGUGUAGCGAUGAAAUGCGCAGAUAUCAGGAGGAACACCUGUGGCGAAGGCGGGUCUCUGGGCCGAUACUGACGCUGAGGAGCGAAAGCGUGGGGAGCGAACAGG
This 254-nucleotide ribosomal RNA is filed under the name uncultured bacterium. RNAcentral's name for it is "partial 16S ribosomal RNA". It matches the Rfam family "Bacterial small subunit ribosomal RNA", at positions 524 to 776 of the family's 1533-position model. The record is from RNAcentral.